This 497-nucleotide ribosomal RNA is filed under the name uncultured bacterium. RNAcentral's name for it is "partial 16S ribosomal RNA". It matches the Rfam family "Bacterial small subunit ribosomal RNA", at positions 28 to 507 of the family's 1533-position model. The record is from RNAcentral.
GACGAACGCUGGCGGCGUGCCUAAUACAUGCAAGUUGAGCGCUGAAGGUUGGUACUUGUACCAACUGGAUGAGCAGCGAACGGGUGAGUAACGCGUGGGGAAUCUGCCUUUGAGCGGGGGACAACAUUUGGAAACGAAUGCUAAUACCGCAUAAAAACUUUAAACACAAGUUUUAAGUUUGAAAGAUGCAAUUGCAUCACUCAAAGAUGAUCCCGCGUUGUAUUAGCUAGUUGGUGAGGUAAAGGCCCACCAAGGCGAUGAUACAUAGCCGACCUGAGAGGGUGAUCGGCCACAGUGGGACUGAGACAAGGCCCAAACUCCUACGGGAGGCAGCAGUAGGGAAUCUUCGGCAAUGGACGAAAGUCUGACCGAGCAACGCCGCGGGAGUGAAGAAGGGUUUCGGAUCGGAAAACUCUGUUGGUAGAGAAGAACGUUGGUGAGAGUGGAAAGCUCAUCAAGUGACGGUAACUACACAGAAAGGGACGGCUAACUACGUG